GCAGAAUUUUGCCAUGUGGUUCAGGCCCACUGCCGAUAUGAGUCUAACUAGGGACGAGUGCCUUCUUGGGAUGUAUAUAUUUGCCAAAAAUGAAGAAAUGAGGGAAACGAAGAACUUAUUUAAGCAUUACGAGCUAACCCUGCCUCGCGGGUCGUCAACACUGUUGCAAUGCUUUCCUCUCUUCAAGCCAAGGCAAACCUUGUACCCCGUUGCUGGUUCUUCCUGUCAACAUUUGCCGCCGAGAUCUUGUUCCAAACUCCGAUGGAACAUGUAAUAGAGAGCUAUGCGAGAUGCUGGAUGCCACCAACUUAAGAACUUGAGCAUGUCUUUGUACCCAUUUGCGAGCCACCUGAGACUUGGUACAUGCUAUUGUUGGAUGUAAAGAGACCUUCUGUUUAUGCUCUUGAUGUUUGCACAAGCAUAGAGUCUGUUCCCAGGCGUGAGCGCAACAUGCGCCUUAUAAUGGCUGUCCUCGGGAACAUUUUCAAACUUGAGCCGAAUCUGCCCAACAUUAAACACGUUUCGCCAGAUCCAAACACCUGGGGACGCAUUGAAUACCCCAUGAGCUUUCCUAGCAGGCUAGGCGCAGAUGAAUAUGGAAUAUAGUGCAUCUGGUGGAUGUCUCACAAUGGCUGAUUCUCCCCAGCUAUCCUAGGAAACCUGGGUGAUAAGGCCAUAUUGAGGAUGAAAACAGCAACCAGAAUUGUCGCAUCUGACUACAGUGAUCUUAAGGCUCUUGUGGACCUCAAGGCAGAGACGGUGUGGCGUAGUCUCCCGUUCCUUCCCUAAUUACUACUCUAUUUACAUGCUUAUAUAUGAAUGAAGUUGGGAACCAUUUACAAGGCCCAAAUAUUUUGAAAUUACUUGUUGCUGUUAAAUAUUGCUAAUUCCAGACUUUAGUAUUUUUACUCUACUUGUAUUAUCUCGGUGGUCGACAUUGUAUAUGCACCCACCUGGGUUGCAAAUGGUUUGACUAUGUACGCACCUGUUAUAGUUAACUUGCAUGAUGACUUGUUGAAGAAUGUAAGUGGGAACUGUUAACAAGGUCCAUAUAUUUUGAAGUUAGUUGUUGCUGUUGUA
Arachis ipaensis is the source of this 1080-nucleotide non-coding RNA. NCBI's taxonomy places the organism in Eukaryota, Viridiplantae, Streptophyta, Magnoliopsida, Fabales, Fabaceae. The record is from RefSeq and is a predicted model, not a curated record.